AAGCGAGCUUAGUUAGACUGCUAAUCUAACACCACCCAAGACUAAUCCCUUGGCUCCCU
RNAcentral lists this transfer RNA (59 nucleotides) under Hemidactylus frenatus (common house gecko). Its description in RNAcentral is "tRNA-Ser". The record is from RNAcentral. Lineage: Eukaryota; Metazoa; Chordata; Lepidosauria; Squamata; Gekkonidae.